GAGCGAGUUGGAAACCCGCGUUCCCCUCUCCACUUCGCCUGACAUGGAGAGUCGAAAGCAGCUAGCGAUGGAUGUUGUCACUUUAUCUUCCUUCUAUCUUUACAAUCCAUCAAUGAGGAUAUCCGCGAGUGCAGUUGUCGACGCUGCUCUUCCUAGGGUGCAGGAACCGAAAUCAAAGGAAGUCUUGGUUCUUGUUAUGUCAUUGUAUUAGUAUUCAUGGUGACAGGAGAUUAAUGCUUGCUUGUUGUGACUGCAUUUAGGUUUUGGAAAUGCGGAGUAUGAGGUGCAUUAACCCUAAAUUUCAUGAGUUUGGACUUCAUUUUUUAUAUUCUGUGGAAACUAGAAUCUAUUUUUUGAAUGAGUUUCUGAGGAAUCGAACGAACCCUUCUUUGGUGGAGGUAAGGGAUUUACCAAUGGGUUAUGUGCACAGGCGUAGGGUUCCCAAGCUGAUUGAUUGACGCCGUUGUUGAUGACAUAUGGUAGAAUUGGAGUGGAGAUUGGUUGAAAGUAUUACAGCUUGGAGAUUUUGAUCUAUCAGGUUCCAGAGAUGGAAAUAUGAGUUUUAUGAAUGACUUUGGAAGGAAUCGUGGUGUGCUCAAAUAGGAAUUCUUUGAAUCCAUUAGCUGUAAACAGUUCCUCGGGUACAACACCUGCAUUUUUCAUCCCUGAUAAUUGUUGUAUUGCGGUGGGGAGUUGGAUAUGGUCUUGAUAUUGGAUGUAUGCUCAUGUCCUUCAUCCUUUUUAGUGACAUCGUUGGAUGCAGGGUGGAUCCGAUCAGAGGUGAGGAUGCUAAGGAAAGUGCGUUGAAACUGGCGCUCUGAUAUCAUGUAGAAAAAGGGUAUGGCAGAUAUCCCCUCAGUUCCUCGGGUACAACACUCUACUCUUUUCUCUCCUCUCCAGAUUCUCUCUGUCAUGCCUUCUUCUUCUCUCCCUCUUUGCUGCUGUGUUAAUAGCGGGAGAUUGCCCUGCCUUCGCAUGUGCGGGGGAUGCCUGAGCUGUUGUGGUGAGCUCUACUCCUUUGGUUGUUGGUUGAGCCAUGCAUGUGUGGACCGUCUUCGGUAACCUUUGUGUACCCUUGAAUACUGUCAGCACGGAUGACUUUUUGAAGACUUGAUGUGAGAUGAUGUUUGGGAGUUAACUGGAUGGUAAUGGCAUUUUUUAUGGUUGAAAUAAAAAAAUUCAACUGACGUGGAUUAGGAGUAUUUAUCCAUUAGCAAAAAAGAAUCACCUUCAUGGGUUCUUGAAGUAGCAGAAUCGUACAUGGAGUGACGCUGACGCACAGGAUCAAAUAGAAGAAGAUGGAUACAGCCAUUUGGCGAGAAUCUCUGAUACCAAGUUAACUAAUUCCGCACUAGCAAUAGAAGAAGGAAG
Phalaenopsis equestris is the source of this 1371-nucleotide long non-coding RNA. RefSeq lists it as uncharacterized. Lineage: Eukaryota; Viridiplantae; Streptophyta; Magnoliopsida; Asparagales; Orchidaceae. The transcript is spliced from 3 exons. The record is from RefSeq and is a predicted model, not a curated record.